RNAcentral lists this ribosomal RNA (484 nucleotides) under uncultured bacterium. RNAcentral describes it as "partial 16S ribosomal RNA". It matches the Rfam family "Bacterial small subunit ribosomal RNA", at positions 30 to 507 of the family's 1533-position model. The record is from RNAcentral.
AUUGAACGCUGGCGGCAGGCCUAACACAUGCAAGUCGAGCGGAUGAAGGGAGCUUUCUCCUGGAUUCAGCGGCGGACGGGUGAGUAAUGCCUAGGAAUCUGCCUGGUAUUGGGGGAUAACGUCCGGUAACGGGCGCUAAUACCGCAUACGUCCUGAGGGAGAAAGGGGGGGAUCUUCGGACCUCACGCUAUCUGAUGAGCCUAGGUCGGAUUAGCUAGUUGGUGGGGUAAAGGCCUACCAAGGCGACGAUCCGUAACUGGUCUGAGAGGAUGAUCAGUCACACUGGAACUGAGACACGGUCCAGACUCCUACGGGAGGCAGCAGUGGGGAAUAUUGGACAAAGGGCGAAAGCCUGAUCCAGCCAUGCCGCGUGUGUGAAGAAGGUCUUCGGAUUGUAAAGCACUUUAAGUUGGGAGGAAGGGCAGUAAGUUAAUACCUUGCUGUUUUGACGUUACCAACAGAAUAAGCACCGGCUAACUUCGUG